UCAAUACUCCCUCCAUCUCAAAAUUCUUGUCUUAGAUUUGUCUAGAUAUGAAUGUAUCUAGACACGUUUUAGUAUUUAGAUACAUCCAUUUCUAGUCAAACCUAAGACAAGAAUUUUAGUACGGAAGGAGUAGGUU
Hordeum vulgare subsp. vulgare (domesticated barley) is the source of this 136-nucleotide non-coding RNA. The record is from Rfam. NCBI's taxonomy places the organism in Eukaryota, Viridiplantae, Streptophyta, Magnoliopsida, Poales, Poaceae.